GAUGAACGCUGGCGGCGUGCCUAAUACAUGCAAGUCGAGCGAAUGGAUUAAGAGCUUGCUCUUAUGAAGUUAGCGGCGGACGGGUGGGUAACACGUGGGUAACCUGCCCAUAAGACUGGGAUAACUCCGGGAAACCGGGGCUAAUACCGGAUAACAUUUUGAACCGCAUGGUUCGAAAUUGAAAGGCGGCUUCGGCUGUCACUUAUGGAUGGACCCGCGUCGCAUUAGCUAGUUGGUGAGGUAACGGCUCACCAAGGCAACGAUGCGUAGCCGACCUGAGAGGGUGGUCGGCCACACUGGGACUGAGACACGGCCCAGACUCCUACGGGAGGCAGCAGUAGGGAAUCUUCCGCAAUGGACGAAAGUCUGACGGAGCAACGCCGCGUGAGUGAGGAAGGCUUUCGGGUCGUAAAACUCUGUUGUUAGGGAAGAACAAGUGCUAGUUGAAUAAGCUGGCACCUUGACGGUACCUAACCAGAAAGCCACGGCUAACUACGUGCCAGCCGCCGCAGUAA
Molecule: ribosomal RNA, 515 nt
Filed under: uncultured bacterium
Lineage: Bacteria
Description: partial 16S ribosomal RNA
Rfam family: Bacterial small subunit ribosomal RNA
Source: RNAcentral